CACGGGAGUAAUCCUGGUGGCGAGUGGCGAACGGGUGAGUAAUAUAUCGGAACGAGCCCAGUCGUGGGGGAUAACGCAGCGAAAGCUGUGCUAAUACCGCAUACGAUCUAUGGAUGAAAGCGGGGGAUCGCAAGACCUCGCGCGAUUGGAGCGGCCGAUAUCAGAUUAGCUAGUUGGUGGGGUAAAGGCCCACCAAGGCGACGAUCUGUAGCUGGUCUGAGAGAACGACCAGCCACACUGGAACUGAGACACGGUCCAGACUCCUACGGGAGGCAGCAGUGGGGAAUUUUGGACAAUGGGCGCAAGCCUGAUCCAGCAAUGCCGCGUGCAGGACGAAGGCCUUCGGGUUGUAAACUGCUUUUGUACGGAGCGAAACGGCUUUCUCUAAUACAGGGGGCUAAUGACGGUACCGUAAGAAUAAGCACCGGCUAACUACGUGCCAGCAGCCGCGGUAAUACGUAGGGUGCGAGCGUUAAUCGGAAUUACUGGGCGUAAAGCGUGCGCAGGCGGUUUUGUAAGACAGAUGUGAAAUCCCCGGGCUCAACCUGGGACCUGCAUUUGUGUCUGCAAAGCUGGAGUGCGGCAGAGGGGGAUGGAAUUCCGCGUGUAGCAGUGAAAUGCGUAGAUAUGCGGAGGAACACCGAUGGCGAAGGCAAUCCCCUGGGCCUGCACUGACGCUCAUGCACGAAAGCGUGGGGAGCAAACAGGAUUAGAUACCCUGGUAGUCCACGCCCUAAACGAUGUCAACUGGUUGUUGGGUCUUUACUGACUCAGUAACGAAGCUAACGCGUGAAGUUGACCGCCUGGGG
This 809-nucleotide ribosomal RNA is filed under the name uncultured bacterium. RNAcentral describes it as "bacterial SSU rRNA". It matches the Rfam family "Bacterial small subunit ribosomal RNA", at positions 72 to 878 of the family's 1533-position model. The record is from RNAcentral.